GAGACUAUACUCUCAAGGAUCAUUUCUAUAGUUUGUUACUAAAGAAGUUUCUCUGAAUUUGUAGAGCACUGAAACUAUUAAAAAAAAUUAAAUUACAGGUAGG
Molecule: small nucleolar RNA, 103 nt
Organism: Pongo abelii (Sumatran orangutan)
Lineage: Eukaryota; Metazoa; Chordata; Mammalia; Primates; Hominidae
Gene: U3
Rfam family: Small nucleolar RNA U3
About the family: Small nucleolar RNAs (snoRNAs) are involved in the processing and modification of rRNA in the nucleolus.
Source: Ensembl